AAUUUUAUUUAUAAAUAUAUAUUUAUUUAUUAUAUAUAGUAUUUUAUUUUUAUAUAGAAAUAUUAUUAUAUAAUAUUUUAUUUAUAAAUUUUUAUUUAUUUAUUAAUAUUUCUAAAUAUAUAACUCUUAUAUAUUAUUAAUAUAUGUUUAUUAUAAUUUUAAAUAUAUUUAAUCUAUAUAUAAAAAUUACAAUAAUAAUAAUAUAUAUAGUAUAUUAAUUAUUAUAUAUUUAUUAUAUAGCCGAAUUUUUUAUUCCCAACUUUUAAUUGGUGAACGUAUAAUAUCCGUAUAAAUCGCGUAUCCAAAUAAUUACCGAAUCUGUUUUUUUGCUGUAUUUUUCAACCAAUUUAAAAUUUAAAAGACGAAUUUUAUCUGAAUUAUAUUCGUACCGGAUGUUUGCCAAAUCCGAAUUAACUAACUAUGGUCGUUGUCGGCCAUGUUGACCACGAACAUGCUUCGUAAGCAUUCUCAAUCAACAAU
Molecule: long non-coding RNA, 480 nt
Filed under: Ananas comosus (pineapple)
Lineage: Eukaryota; Viridiplantae; Streptophyta; Magnoliopsida; Poales; Bromeliaceae
Description: long non-coding RNA (ACOM_LNC035082)
Source: RNAcentral